UGAACGCUGGCGGCAUGCUUUACACAUGCAAGUCGAACGGUAACAGCACUUCGGUGGCUGACGAGUGGCGAACGGGUGAGUAAUACAUCGGAACGUGCCUAGUAGUGGGGGAUAACUACUCGAAAGAGUAGCUAAUACCGCAUGAGAUCUAAGGAUGAAAGCAGGGGACCUUCGGGCCUUGCGCUACUAGAGCGGCUGAUGGCAGAUUAGGUAGUUGGUGGGAUAAAAGCUUACCAAGCCGACGAUCUGUAGCUGGUCUGAGAGGACGACCAGCCACACUGGGACUGAGACACGGCCCAGACUCCUACGGGAGGCAGCAGUGGGGAAUUUUGGACAAUGGGCGCAAGCCUGAUCCAGCAAUGCCGCGUGCAGGAUGAAGGCCUUCGGGUUGUAAACUGCUUUUGUACGGAACGAAAAGCCCUCUUCUAAUACAGGAGGGUCAUGACGGUACCGUAAGAAUAAGCACCGGCUAACUACGUG
This 480-nucleotide ribosomal RNA is filed under the name uncultured bacterium. Its description in RNAcentral is "partial 16S ribosomal RNA". It matches the Rfam family "Bacterial small subunit ribosomal RNA", at positions 30 to 507 of the family's 1533-position model. The record is from RNAcentral.